RNAcentral lists this long non-coding RNA (2345 nucleotides) under Equus caballus (horse). RNAcentral describes it as "lncRNA (ENSECAG00000050836.1)". Lineage: Eukaryota; Metazoa; Chordata; Mammalia; Perissodactyla; Equidae. The record is from RNAcentral.
AUUGUACUGAUGAGGAAGCUGACGUUAAGAGCAGUAAAUUGCCUGCUUCAAACAGCUUAUAAAUGGCAGAGCAAGGAUCUAAGAAAUCAAGGGGAUUUUAAAAUUCUACCCCUUAACUCUAAUUCAUAGUUGAGUCAUGAGGAGGCUGAAUAAUUGCAUACUCUACACUUAUCCUCAUUCUGCUUUUAAUUUAUGUAAGUGUUUACUGACCUUGCUUUAAGCUUCCUGAAACCAGACGGCACAACUUAGAGGGAAGAAAUCUCAGAAUGAAUAUAGGGCUCUUCUUGUAGUCUGGCCAAUGGAUCUGCUGGGUAAGUGGCAGAAUCCCUCACUUACUUAGUAGAUAAAGCUCUCCAUGAGGACAUACUGAAAGCCCCUAGCUAGUCCCUAGAGGAGAAUCUCUCAGCUGAUGACACCCAGGAAUCAUCUCACCAAUGAGACCCUUUAAGACUUAGAAGCUCCUUACCAGCGGAACAUCCUGCAGGUGUGACCCAGCAGGAGGGAACUCACUCUACUGAGAAGCAUUUUCAUCCUAGAUUCUAUCCAGUUACUUAUGAAGACUGAAAUCCAGAUAAUAAGACUUGGUGUGCCCCAGCAGUAAAGCCCUGCAGUGACGUGCUCAAGGCAAAAGGUCAAUGAGACACAGAGAGCACUUAUAGCCAGAUUUUGGAUUUCAACACAGAUUACCAGUCUCAAGAGAUGACAUUAUGAAUCUCUGUGCUAUGCUGCCUCUCAAAUGUGCACCGAAUGUUCAAGGAGGUUGAAGUAAACCAGGAAGAAUGGAGCAAAGACAUGGAUACAUUAAGCUAUUUUAUUGUUCCAUUUCAUUCUGCUUAUAGAAAAAGUUUUCAACCUUCAUUUUAUAAAUCAGAGACAAGUUUAUGGCUACAAGUUCACUAAAGCCUGGAGAUUAUCAACACACAUACACACACAUAAUAGUUUCAUUUUUAAUGAUGUAUCACAUAUAAUUGGAAGUUAUUAAAGCUCAGAUACCAAAGCUCAGUAUCUUCUUUUUCAAAAUUAGUGGCUUCAGUGUUCCUGUUACCAAAUGAUUCAUUUUGCUCUUCAUUCAAAGAUGAAAGCUUCUACUUGGAAGUGGGAAAGAUAACUGAGAAAAUGUUAUUCAGGUCCCUCAUCAUAAAAUUGAAUAGGGUCACAUAAUUGGAAAGUUAUUUAAGCAUAGCACAAUCAGAUGCCAUGGUUAUCUUCCUGCUUGCUAACCCAGGUUAUUUCACAGUGGAAAGUAUGCUAGUCUGGAAAGGGACAGAGGAAAAGAAGUCUUAUGAAAGAAAUCAUUUUGCAAUGGCAAGUAUACCAAUGCCCUCAGGAAACUGUAGCAACAAUCAGGAUUUAAUCCAACUAAAGCAAAUAUUGCAGGACACAGGAAGGUAAUGUCAAAUACAAGACUUUAUUGGAUUGGCCUCUGAAAUAGAUAAAUGUGCAAAUGCAAAACUGAUGAAAAGAAAUAAGUUUGCUACCUACCAUUAAAUGGAUCAAUAUCAAUCUGCUAACUUUAAUCUUUUUAUGGUAGUUUUCAUUAUAAGACAUGACCUGUGUUUUUCUAACAAUCUACCAUCAAAAGACUAGCUUUGAGUGAAAUUAAGGUUUACCUUUACAAAUUAUUAACACACCUGCCCCUGAAUAUUAACUCAAAGCAAAUUUGUCAUUUCCCUCAAAGGCUGCUGACAUUCAUGGCCUUUCAAGAUCCUUAUAUUUCUAUCAUUCUAUUCAGCUUAAAAUAGUCUGAAGGUUUUCUUUAAAUGAGCAGAAAGUAUAGCAGAAAUUCACGAGCUUUAGUAAAUCUUUAGAAUUCAGAUGAACUCUUAUGUAUUGCUUUAUGGAAAAAUAGCUUCCCAAAGUCACUUUCAUACUUGGUGUCAAUAUUCUCAUUCUUACUCACCCAGGGGCUACUUGGAGAACAGAGUUAACAAAUGUCCACAUAGAGAAGUUUCUUGUAAGGAACUACAAUGGAGGAUAGAAAUGAAGUGGAAACAAAAGGAAGAACUACAUGACAUUUUUUUUUUUAAAUAUCUCAUUUUAAUAGAAUAUUGAAAAAGCUUAUUUAGUAUAAUAAAGAAUGGGAAUUUUUGCACAGAUAAUUUGAUCCACUCUUCCUAUUCUCAAAUAUAAUUUCCUCAUGUGAUAUCUUUCUCCAAAGUGGGGAGCAAUAGCAGAGCUUUUUUAUUAAGGGGAGAGAAUCUUUUUUGUGUAGGUAAAAUAGUCCAUUGGUGUGGCAGAAGCCAGGAUAACCAACCAACUUGUGUAUUUCAAUCUUCUGUUCUGAGACCAACAUUGUUUUCCAUCCCUAAUAUUUGAAGAAACUUCCCAUGAUGGCACAGACCUAC